Molecule: long non-coding RNA, 385 nt
Filed under: Sinocyclocheilus anshuiensis
Lineage: Eukaryota; Metazoa; Chordata; Actinopteri; Cypriniformes; Cyprinidae
Description: lncRNA (ENSSANG00000013999.1)
Source: RNAcentral
GCGCAGGUGUCGCUCAUUAUCAUCAAACUCCACCGGCCUCGCUCCGCUCUCUGCCACUCGUCACAAAGCAUGAUUACUUAAAUCAAUUAUGGUUUUCUUGACUCCCAUGGCAAAAGCUGUUGGAGACACCCAGCAUAGAAAUAUUCCUAAUUCUGCUUUGCUGAGUAUGAGUCCACACGCACAAAGAUACAGCAAAAGAGCUACCAGACAUCAACAAAUCUCAUUUCAGAUUGUCCAGAUAAUGAUUGGAGUGACUGUCUUCUUACUUGGGGUUGUACUUACUUGGCGUCUCACCAUCAGUGACUAUUAUCCCAAAUUUGUUGUCAAUAGUGGCAUCACCUACUGGGGAUCUUUCAUUGUAAGUAAGUUUUGCUUUAUUUCCCUU